RNAcentral lists this ribosomal RNA (252 nucleotides) under uncultured bacterium. RNAcentral describes it as "partial 16S ribosomal RNA". It matches the Rfam family "Bacterial small subunit ribosomal RNA", at positions 524 to 773 of the family's 1533-position model. The record is from RNAcentral.
UACGGGGGGGAGCAAGCGUUGUUCGGAUUUACUGGGCGUAAAGUGUGCGCAGGCGGCAGAGCAAGUCGAGUGUGAAAGCCCCGGGCUUAACUUGGGAAUUGCGCUCGAAACUACUUUGCUGGAGUGUGGCAGAGGAAGGUGGAAUUCCACGUGUAGCGGUGAAAUGCGUAGAGAUGCGGAGGAACACCGAUGGCGAAGGCAGCCCCCUGGGCUGACACCUGACGCUCAGGCACGAAAGCGUGGGGAGCAAAC